RNAcentral lists this ribosomal RNA (404 nucleotides) under uncultured prokaryote. Its description in RNAcentral is "bacterial SSU rRNA". It matches the Rfam family "Bacterial small subunit ribosomal RNA", at positions 355 to 776 of the family's 1533-position model. RNAcentral also lists the same sequence under 1 other name. The record is from RNAcentral.
UGGGGAAUAUUGCACAAUGGGGGAAACCCUGAUGCAGCGACGCCGCGUGAAGGAUGAAGUAUUUCGGUACGUAAACUUCUAUCAGCAAGGAAGAUAAUGACGGUACUUGACUAAGAAGCCCCGGCUAACUACGUGCCAGCAGCCGCGGUAAUACGUAGGGGGCAAGCGUUAUCCGGAUUUACUGGGUGUAAAGGGAGCGUAGGUGGUAAGGUAAGUCAGAUGUGAAAGGCCAGGGCUCAACCCUGGGACUGCAUUUGAAACUAUCUUACUAGAGUGCAGGAGAGGUAAGUGGAAUUCCUAGUGUAGCGGUGAAAUGCGUAGAUAUUAGGAGGAACACCAGUGGCGAAGGCGGCUUACUGGACUGUAACUGACACUGAGGCUCGAAAGCGUGGGGAGCAAACAGG